RNAcentral lists this ribosomal RNA (515 nucleotides) under uncultured bacterium. RNAcentral describes it as "bacterial SSU rRNA". It matches the Rfam family "Bacterial small subunit ribosomal RNA", at positions 28 to 534 of the family's 1533-position model. The record is from RNAcentral.
GAUGAACGCUAGCGGGAGGCUUAACACAUGCAAGUCGAGGGGCAGCAUAGGGUAGCAAUACUCUGAUGGCGACCGGCAAACGGGUGAGUAACGCGUAUGCAACCUACCCUGUACAGGGGGAUAACCCGGAGAAAUUCGGACUAAUAUCCCGUAAUAAUAUCCGGAGGCAUCUUUGGAUAUUUAAAGUUCCGACGGUACGGGAUGGGCAUGCGUAACAUUAACUGGUUGGUAAGGUAACGGCUUACCAAGGCUAUGAUGUUUAGGGGUCCUGAGAGGGUGGUCCCCCACACUGGUACUGAGACACGGACCAGACUCCUACGGGAGGCAGCAGUGAGGAAUAUUGGUCAAUGGGCGCAAGCCUGAACCAGCCAUCCCGCGUGCAGGAAGACGGCCCUAUGGGUUGUAAACUGCUUUUCCAGGGAGAGAAACUUACGCACGUGUUGCGUGACUGACGGUACCCUGGGAAUAAGCAUCGGCUAACUCCGUGCCAGCAGCCGCGGUAAACACGGAGAGUA